This is a long non-coding RNA of Panicum virgatum (switchgrass), 721 nucleotides long. RefSeq lists it as uncharacterized. The record is from RefSeq and is a predicted model, not a curated record. Lineage: Eukaryota; Viridiplantae; Streptophyta; Magnoliopsida; Poales; Poaceae. The transcript is spliced from 2 exons.
CGAGGAGGAUCAGCUCAGCUCGAUAUAGCUGGCCUCGCUUCACUCUCACUGUCAACUUGUCAAGCAAGCGCCGUCCAGCUAAGGUUCAGGCGCCCCGGCCUACGGCUGGCGCGGCGCGUGGCACGCGUUUUCCCGCUUGGAGUUUCUUCCUCCCCCGACCGAUUAAUUUAACGGGCUCCCAGCCUCCCACUCCCACCCCACCCAGAGCCAUAAUCUCGGCCAUCGGCCAUCGCCUUCUCCCCGUCUCGUCUCCGGCAUCUCGCCCCGUUCAUCCUCCCCGUUGCCGCGCGCUGUCGCCUCCGUCCCCCGGCUCGCGGCUCCGGCAAGAUCAGCAAGCGCACCCGGAAGCGCAGCUCGAUCCGCGCAGGGAGACCGGAUGGAGUUUGUGCUGAUCAUUUCGCUGCCGCUCCUCAUCCUGAUCAUCAUCGUCGCCGUGGUCCUCUGCAUCGUCUGCCGUUAGCCGAGCGCCCACGAAGAAACAUCCUUCUCCGCUGUGAUCAUACCAUGUGUUAAUUAACUUUUGUACAUCAUGACCUGAUAAAACCUCUUUCUCUGCAUUGCCGUGUGAUUAAUCGGCUGUAGCUCUAUCCUUUAUUUUUUUUUUCAAUCCCUGGUGCAAAAAGGGCUUCGAUUCUGCGUGUCAGGCUGAUACAUAGCAGACAUGCUGCAAGGCUGGGCUGGACGGCGGGGUUCCUUCAUUCCUUGCCGUGCUCUUUUGGUU